CGGGGGGCAGCAGUGGGGAAUUUUCUGCAAUGGGCGAAAGCCUGACAGAGCAAUACCGCGUGAGGGAUGAAGGCUUGCGAGUUGUAAACCUCUUUUGUCAAGGAGGAAGUUCUGACGUGUACUUGACGAAUAAGCAUCGGCUAACUCCGUGCCAGCAGCCGCGGUAAGACGGAGGAUGCAAGUGUUAUCCGGAAUAACUGGGCGUAAAGCGUCUGUAGGUGGUUUAAAAAGUCUAUUGUUAAAGCUUGAAGCUUAACUUCAAAAAUGCAAUAGAAACUUUUAAACUUGAGUGUGGUAGGGGUAAAGGGAAUUUCCAGUGGAGCGGUGAAAUGCGUAGAUAUUGGAAAGACCACCAAUGGCGAAGGCACUUUACUGGGCCAUUACUGACACUGAGAGACGAAAGCUAGGGGAGCAAAUGGGAUUAGAUACCCCGGU
RNAcentral lists this ribosomal RNA (435 nucleotides) under uncultured prokaryote. RNAcentral describes it as "bacterial SSU rRNA". It matches the Rfam family "Bacterial small subunit ribosomal RNA", at positions 342 to 791 of the family's 1533-position model. The record is from RNAcentral.